UAUUGGACAAUGGGGGGAACCCUGAUCCAGCGACGCCGCGUGAGUGAAGAAGUAUCUCGGGAUGUAAAGCUCUAUCAGCAGGGAAGAAAGAAAUGACGGUACCUGACUAAGAAGCCGUCACUAACUACGUGCCAGCAGCCGCGGUAAUACGUAGGGGGCAAGCGUUAUCCGGAUUUAUUGGGUGUAAAGGGAGCGUAGACGGCGAUGCAAGUCUGAAGUGAAAGGCGGGGGCCCAACCCCCGGACUGCUUUGGAAACUGUAUGGCUGGAGUGCAGGAGAGGUAAGUGGAAUUCCUAGUGUAGCGGUGAAAUGCGUAGAUAUUAGGAGGAACACCAGUGGCGAAGGCGGCUUACUGGACUGUAACUGACGUUGAGGCUCGAAAGCGUGGGGAGCAAACAAG
RNAcentral lists this ribosomal RNA (400 nucleotides) under uncultured bacterium. RNAcentral's name for it is "bacterial SSU rRNA". It matches the Rfam family "Bacterial small subunit ribosomal RNA", at positions 362 to 776 of the family's 1533-position model. The record is from RNAcentral.